This is a long non-coding RNA of Cottoperca gobio, 1029 nucleotides long. RefSeq lists it as uncharacterized. Lineage: Eukaryota; Metazoa; Chordata; Actinopteri; Perciformes; Bovichtidae. The record is from RefSeq and is a predicted model, not a curated record. The transcript is spliced from 3 exons.
CCAAUCACCACCCUGGACGCCUUGUGGUCGGCAGGCAGCCUGGCAGGGUCCCGCGCCAGCACAGUCACGCUGUAUCCUGAGGGAGGAAACACGGAAAUGAAACAGACCAACAGGAAUGCAGAAGAAACAGGAUCUUGUGACAUAUUCCAUCAAGGUCAUGGAAAAGUUGAAGUGAGAGAAUGAGAAUGACCUUUAUCUAACGACGCCAAUAAAAGAGCAGGACAACAUGAUUACAACUGCAGCUAGAAUAAAAGAGUCUUUUCCAGAAGCUCCUGUAAUAACUUCACCAACUACAUAAAGGGGAUCCCACCCUCCCUGCACAGGCGAGAUAGUGAACAGCUUCUACUAUCUGCUCUCUGUGACUCAGCAAAACGCUCCCCUGCAACGUCCAACAUGACUCCACAGUUUUUCGCCCCAUGUUGAGGAGGGAGAAAGGAAAUGAAAAUGCUUUAUAAUCAAAUGAAUCAUGUGACAUAAUGUGCGAGUGAUUUGUGCGAGUGUAUCGUCCUGACUGCAGUUUGUGAAAAUCUUUGGGGGGAAUCCCAACCAAUAAUGGAGCAAAUUACAGCAGAGACUGACGGAUUAAACCUUAUUGGAUUGUGAAUGUAUAAAUAAAGAAUAUUAAAUAACAUGAGAUUAACAAAAAAAGUUUUACCUCUGAAAUGUAAUCAGAUUACAUUUGCUAUGAUCUUCAAAAGUAAUUAAGUGGGACCUAGAGCUGGUGGAAUCAAUAUCACCAUAGUGUUGACCAAAUACAUGAAUAUGUAUACAUGGCAAUAUAAUGUCUAUGUGGGACUACUGGUGUUUUCAAAAUACAUUUACACAGAAGGAAAACAGUAAUGUGGACUAUGACAAAACCUUAAAUUUAGCUAUAACAACUUCACAAGCACAAUCCCACAGUCUCAUAUCACGUUAUUGACAUUAUAUUGAUUCAUGCCCCAACUCUGAAUUCAUAACAGCAGAAGAUGUGGACAACUUGACACAGUAAACCUGUAAACCUGUGUACAUUAUCCCAUUUCUCACCUGCAG